GUGAGGAAUAUUGGACAAUGGGCGCAAGCCUGAUCCAGCCAUGCCGCGUGCAGGAAGACGCAUCUAUGGUGUGUAAACUGCUUUUGUACGGGAAGAAACACUCCCUCGUGAGGGAGCUUGACGGUACCGUAAGAAUAAGGAUCGGCUAACUCCGUGCCAGCAGCCGCGGCAAUACGGAGGAUCCAAGCGUUAUCCGGAAUCAUUGGGUUUAAAGGGUCCGUAGGCGGUUUAAUAAGUCAGUGGUGAAAGCCCAUCGCUCAACGAUGGAACGGCCAUUGAUACUGUUAGACUUGAAUUACAAGGAAGUAACUAGAAUAUGUAGUGUAGCGGUGAAAUGCUUAGAUAUUACAUGGAAUACCAAUUGCGAAGGCAGGUUACUACUUGUGGAUUGACGCUGAUGGACGAAAGCGUGGGGAGCGAACAGGAUUAGAUACCCUAGUAGUCC
Molecule: ribosomal RNA, 445 nt
Filed under: uncultured bacterium
Lineage: Bacteria
Description: partial 16S ribosomal RNA
Rfam family: Bacterial small subunit ribosomal RNA
Source: RNAcentral